Molecule: ribosomal RNA, 373 nt
Filed under: uncultured organism
Description: partial 16S ribosomal RNA
Rfam family: Bacterial small subunit ribosomal RNA
Source: RNAcentral
GUAGGUCCCGAGCGUUAUCCGGAUUUAUUGGGCGUAAAGCGAGCGCAGGCGGUUAGAUAAGUCUGAAGUUAAAGGCUGUGGCUUAACCAUAGUACGCUUUGGAAACUGUUUAACUUGAGUGCAGAAGGGGAGAGUGGAAUUCCAUGUGUAGCGGUGAAAUGCGUAGAUAUAUGGAGGAACACCGGUGGCGAAAGCGGCUCUCUGGUCUGUAACUGACGCUGAGGCUCGAAAGCGUGGGGAGCAAACAGGGAUUAGAUACCCUGGUAGUCCACGCCGUAAACGAUGAGUGCUAGGUGUUGGGUCCCUUUCCGGGGACUCAGUGCCGCAGCUAACGCAUUAAGCACUCCGCCUGGGGAGUACGACCGCAAGGUUG